CCUACGGGAGGCAGCAGUGAGGAAUAUUGGUCAAUGGGCGCGAGCCUGAACCAGCCAAGUCGCGUGAGGGAAGACGGCCCUAUGGAUUGUAAACCUCUUUUGUCGGGGAGCAAAAUACCCCACGCGUACCUUUCUGUGCGUACUCUAAGAAAAAGCAUCGGCUAACUCCGUGCCAGCAGCCGCGGUACUCCGGGGGAUGCGAGCGUUAUCGGGAUUUCUGGGGUUAAAGGGGUGCGCGUGUGGAUGGUCAAGUCGGUGGUAAAAUUGAGGGCCUCAACCUAGACUGGCCGUUGAAACUGGUUGGCUUGAGUGAGUGAGAGGUAGGCGGAAUUCGUGGUGUAGCGGUGAAAUGCAUAGAUAUCACGAAGAACUCCGAUUGCGAAGGCAGCAUAC
This 393-nucleotide ribosomal RNA is filed under the name uncultured bacterium. RNAcentral's name for it is "partial 16S ribosomal RNA". It matches the Rfam family "Bacterial small subunit ribosomal RNA", at positions 338 to 729 of the family's 1533-position model. The record is from RNAcentral.